RNAcentral lists this long non-coding RNA (1445 nucleotides) under Piliocolobus tephrosceles (Ugandan red Colobus). Its description in RNAcentral is "lncRNA (ENSPTEG00000006372.1)". The record is from RNAcentral. Lineage: Eukaryota; Metazoa; Chordata; Mammalia; Primates; Cercopithecidae.
AUACAGAAGAGAAAGGUUGUCAUUAUAUUAAAAGUGACAAAAAAAAAGAUUUUGUGCUUAAUAAGAACAGUAGUGAUGAAAAUAGUGAGUUUAAAAAUAUAAUGAACCAUGUUAAUAAAACAUUUGAUUAUUAUUGUAAUGAAGCUUUAAAUAAAUAUGUUGAUAACGCAACUGAAUUUAUAAAUAUAAAUAACAAGAUAGACCAAUGUAAUAAUAUAUAUACUAAUGUUAAUAGUAUAUUAAAUGAGCAUUUAAGUGAAGUAAAAAUCAUUACUAGUGAUAUAAGUUCUAUUCAAAAAUUAAGUGAAAAUAUGGAUCAUAAAUUAAAUAAUAGAAAGAUAACAUUAGAGUUAUUAAACACUUAUAUUAAAAUUAUACUAGUAACACCCCAACUAGUUCGUGAUAUAUGUAAUAAAGAAAUUAAUGAAGAUUAUAUAAAAAAUGUAAACAUAUUAAUGAAAAAAAUAGAGAAUUGUAAACAUUGUUUAUAUGAUUCCUAUCGUAGUAUUAAAUCUUCUUAUAUAGAAUUAGAGAAAUUAAAAUAUAAAGCUAUUGAUAGAAUUUAUUUUUUUUUUUUAAACAAAUUUAAUGACAUAAGAAGUAAAAAAAUCAAUAUUCAUUUAACACAACAGAAAUUAAUAAAAUUUUAUGAACUAAAUACGUUUCUUUAUUAUAAUAAUAAAAAAGUAUAUACUUAUUUAAUGAAAGAAUAUGCUAUUAUUAUGAACAGGUCAUAUUAUAAUUUAUUUAAAAAUUAUAUAAACAGUUUAGAAAAUAAAAAAGUUCAAUUUGAUGAUGAAAUAACAAUAGGUUUUUUUGGUACUACUGUAGGUGGAAAUGAUUUUAACAGUGGUACUACAAGUGGUAAUACUUUUAAUGCUUGCUCUAGUAACUAUAACGUAUGUGGUAUAAAUGAUACUGUGCGUAAUAGUUAUGAUAAUAAUAAUAAUAAUAAUAAUAGUGUCGGUGUCGAUGGUGCUGUCGGUGUCGGUGAUGGUGUCGGUGUCGGUGGUAGUGUCGGAAAUAAUAACUUUGCGUCUGGAGAUAGUAAUUACAGCAACUACAAUAUCAACACGGCUAACCUUAAUCACGCGAAUUUAAGUCUAUUGUUAGCUAAAAACAAAAUGAUGACUAUUCUUGGAUUUAAUACUAAUAAGGGUGAUAUUACCAUAAAUAAGAAAAAAGAAAAUAUAUUUUUAUUAAAUGAUCGAAUUAAAAUUUUACGUGAUUUAGAUUUCUAUUCUAAGCUGAACGGUUCAGGUUUAGAAAAGGUUGACAAUUGCUCAGCUACUUUACCAUUAAUUUUUUCAACAAAUGACAAUUCUUUAUACUUUUUUGAAGAAAUAUAUAAAUCAAUUAACAAGUUAUUUUUAGAUACAGGGACUAGUGAAUAUUUAUUUAUAUUAAAAUUUUUUAAAAAUUAUGAAUAUCAUGAAUUUUUAUUU